This 459-nucleotide ribosomal RNA is filed under the name uncultured bacterium. Its description in RNAcentral is "partial 16S ribosomal RNA". It matches the Rfam family "Bacterial small subunit ribosomal RNA", at positions 338 to 795 of the family's 1533-position model. The record is from RNAcentral.
CCUACGGGCGGCAGCAGUGAGGAAUAUUGGUCAAUGGGAGAGAUCCUGAACCAGCCAAGCCGCGUGAGGGAAGACGGCCCUAUGGGUUGUAAACCUCUUUUGUCGGAGAACAAAACCCGGGACGUGUCCCGGACUGCGUGUAUCCGAAGAAAAAGCAUCGGCCAACUCCGUGCCAGCAGCCGCGGUAAUACGGAGGAUGCGAGGGUUAUCCGGAUUUAUUGGGUUUAAAGGGUGCGUAGGCGGUCCGUUAAGUCAGCGGGAAAAUUUCGGGGCUCAACCCCGUCGAGCCGUUGAAACUGGCAGACUUGAGUUGGCGAGAAGUACGCGGAAUGCGCGGUGUAGCGGUGAAAUGCAUAGAUAUCGCGCAGAACUCCGAUUGCGAAGGCAGCGUACCGGCGCCAGACUGACGCUGAGGCACGAAAGCGUGGGGAUCGAACAGGAUUAGAUACCCGAGUAGUC